This 384-nucleotide unclassified non-coding RNA is filed under the name uncultured bacterium. RNAcentral describes it as "contains 16S-23S intergenic spacer region". The record is from RNAcentral.
UCCGAUUUGUCACCGGCAGUCUCCCAUGAGUCCCCGACAUUACUCGCUGGCAACAUGGGACAGGGGUUGCGCUCGUUGCGGGACUUAACCCAACACUUCACAGCACGAGCUGACGACAGCCAUGCACCACCUGUGCUAGCUCUCGACUUGACGAGUCCAUCCCCUUUCGGUUCAGUACUUCUAGCAUGUCAAGCCUAGGUAAGGUUCUUCGCGUUGCGUCGAAUUAAACCACAUGCUCCACCGCUUGUGCGGGCCCCCGUCAAUUCCUUUGAGUUUCAGUCUUGCGACCGUACUCCCCAGGCGGCGAACUUAACGCGUUAGCUUCGAUACUGGGCACCAAGUUGUGCCCAACAUCCAGUUCGCAUCGUUUAGGGCGUGGACUAC